UAGAGCAGGGUUAAUAGUUCCAGGGUUAAUAAUCCAGGGUUAAUAGUCCAGGGUUAAUAAUCCAGGGUUAAUAGUUCCAGGGUUAAUAGAGCAGGGUUAAUAGUUCCAGGGUUAAUAGAGCAGGGUUAAUAGUUCCAGGGUUAAUAGACUAGGGUUAAUAAUUCCAGGGUUAAUAGUUCCAGGGUUAAUAAUCCAGGGUUAAUAGUUCCAGGGUUAAUAGUUCCAGGGUUAAUAAUCCAGGGUUAAUAGUUCCAAGGUUAAUAGUUCCAGGGUUAGUAAUCCAUGGUUAAUAGUUCCAGGGUUAAUAUUCCAGGGUUAAUAGUUCAAGGGUUAAUAAUCCAGGGUUAAUAGUUCCAGGGU
This is a long non-coding RNA of Oncorhynchus tshawytscha (Chinook salmon), 360 nucleotides long. The record is from Ensembl. NCBI's taxonomy places the organism in Eukaryota, Metazoa, Chordata, Actinopteri, Salmoniformes, Salmonidae.